UGUUUUUAUUGUAGUUUAAAGGCCAGAGUGUACCCAUGUGUACAUAGAAUGGCUGUUGAUAGCUUGUCUAUUUUUAAAAAAAUUAUAAGGUUACUAUAGAAGUCUAUAGGAAAACAUUUGAUGGUGUGUAACCUGUACGAUUCGAUCACUUUACAGUAAU
Molecule: long non-coding RNA, 160 nt
Organism: Haliotis rubra (blacklip abalone)
Lineage: Eukaryota; Metazoa; Mollusca; Gastropoda; Lepetellida; Haliotidae
Exons: 3
Source: RefSeq, a predicted model, not a curated record